UACGAAGGGAGCUAGCGUUGCUCGGAAUUACUGGGCGUAAAGCGCACGUAGGCGGCUUUCUAAGUCGGGGGUGAAAUCCUGGAGCUCAACUCCAGAACUGCCUUCGAUACUGGAGAGCUCGAGUCCGGGAGAGGUGAGUGGAACUGCGAGUGUAGAGGUGAAAUUCGUAGAUAUUCGCAAGAACACCAGUGGCGAAGGCGGCUCACUGGCCCGGUACUGACGCUGAGGUGCGAAAGCGUGGGGAGCAAACAGG
RNAcentral lists this ribosomal RNA (253 nucleotides) under uncultured bacterium. RNAcentral's name for it is "partial 16S ribosomal RNA". It matches the Rfam family "Bacterial small subunit ribosomal RNA", at positions 524 to 776 of the family's 1533-position model. The record is from RNAcentral.